GACAGCAGUCGCCGCGGGAAUACGUAGGGUGCAAGCGUUAAUCGGAAUUACUGGGCGUAAAGCGUGCGCAGGCGGUUAUAUAAGACAGAUGUGAAAUCCCCGGGCUCAACCUGGGAACUGCAUUUGUGACUGUAUAGCUAGAGUACGGCAGAGGGGGAUGGAAUUCCGCGUGUAGCAGUGAAAUGCGUAGAUAUGCGGAGGAACACCGAUGGCGAAGGCAAUCCCCUGGGCCUGUACUGACGCUCAUGCACGAAAGCGUGGGGAGCAAACAGGAUUAGAUACCCCAGUAGUCCCUGUCUCUUAUAC
Molecule: ribosomal RNA, 306 nt
Filed under: uncultured bacterium
Lineage: Bacteria
Description: partial 16S ribosomal RNA
Rfam family: Bacterial small subunit ribosomal RNA
Source: RNAcentral